This 404-nucleotide ribosomal RNA is filed under the name uncultured bacterium. RNAcentral's name for it is "bacterial SSU rRNA". It matches the Rfam family "Bacterial small subunit ribosomal RNA", at positions 30 to 433 of the family's 1533-position model. The record is from RNAcentral.
AUUGAACGCUGGCGGCAGGCCUAACACAUGCAAGUCGAGCGGUAGAGAGGUGCUUGCAUCUCUUGAGAGCGGCGGACGGGUGAGUAAUGCCUAGGAAUCUGCCUAGUGGUGGGGGGAUAACGUUCGGAAACGGACGCUAAUACCGCAUACGUCCUACGGGAGAAAGCGGGGGAUCUUCGGACCUCGCGCCAUUAGAUGAGCCUAGGUCGGAUUAGCUAGUUGGUGAGGUAAUGGCUCACCAAGGCGACGAUCCGUAACUGGUCUGAGAGGAUGAUCAGUCACACUGGAACUGAGACACGGUCCAGACUCCUACGGGAGGCAGCAGUGGGGAAUAUUGGACAAUGGGCGAAAGCCUGAUCCAGCCAUGCCGCGUGGUGUGAAGAAGGUCUUCGAUUGUAAAGCAC